UACAGAGACUGCGAGCGUUAUUCGGAUUCACUGGGCGUAAAGGGUGCGUAGGCGGCGGGGCAAGUCUGAUGUGAAAUCCCGGGGCUCAACCCCGGAACUGCAUUGGAUACUGCCUUGCUUGAGUACUGGAGAGGGAACUGGAAUUUACGGUGUAGCAGUGAAAUGCGUAGAGAUCGUAAGGAAGGCCAGUGGCGAAGGCGAGUUCCUGGACAGUUACUGACGCUGAGGCACGAAGGCCAGGGGAGCAAACGGG
Molecule: ribosomal RNA, 253 nt
Filed under: uncultured bacterium
Lineage: Bacteria
Description: partial 16S ribosomal RNA
Rfam family: Bacterial small subunit ribosomal RNA
Source: RNAcentral